Molecule: transfer RNA, 66 nt
Filed under: Sorineuchora bivitta
Lineage: Eukaryota; Metazoa; Arthropoda; Insecta; Blattodea; Pseudophyllodromiidae
Description: tRNA-Phe
Source: RNAcentral
ACUUAAGUAGCUUAAAUUUGAGAGUGUAAUAUUGAAGAUAUUAAGAUGAUAUUAAAUCCUUAGGUG